RNAcentral lists this ribosomal RNA (311 nucleotides) under uncultured bacterium. Its description in RNAcentral is "bacterial SSU rRNA". It matches the Rfam family "Bacterial small subunit ribosomal RNA", at positions 28 to 334 of the family's 1533-position model. The record is from RNAcentral.
GAUGAACGCUAGCGGCAGGCUUAACACAUGCAAGUCGAACGGUAACAGAAAAAGCUUGCUUUUUGCUGACGAGUGGCGAACGGGUGCGUAACGCGUAUGCAACCUACCUUUAACAGAGGGAUAGCCCAGAGAAAUUUGGAUUAAUACCUCAUAAUAUCACGAGAUCUCAUGUUUUUGUGAUUAAAGCUUCGGCGGUUAAAGAUGGGCAUGCGUGACAUUAGCUAGAUGGUAAGGUAACGGCUUACCAUGGCAACGAUGUCUAGGGGGUCUUAAAGGAUGAUCCCCCACACUGGUACUGAGACACGGACCAG